This 5120-nucleotide long non-coding RNA is filed under the name Mytilus galloprovincialis (Mediterranean mussel). The record is from RNAcentral. Lineage: Eukaryota; Metazoa; Mollusca; Bivalvia; Mytilida; Mytilidae.
CAAGGAUUACACGAUGGAGGCAAAUUAACAGUCGAAGCAGUUUUGUAUAUUAUUAUGUAGAACAUUACUUGGUUACGAAUUGAAGUAUUAUAUGAGUAUGUGAUAUAUUAAAUGAAGGAUGCGUCAGAAUAGUAGGGGUUUAAUCUUUAUCACUGAUCAUGAUCAUGACGAAGUCUACAACACGUGGUUUUAAGAUUAACUAAUAUAGAGACACAUGUAUUGCUGAAUAAAUUAGCAUAUAGCAUAUAUGCGAGAAUAAUAAUUAUAUGUAUAAGCUUAUUUCUUUCAAAAUUUUACCAUGUUUACCACCUGAAAGUGUCGAAAUAUUUAAGUAGUUCAAAAAAUCUUUUUUGAACAGGGCAUACACAUCACAAUUUGUAGUUUUAUAAUUUGAACUGUGAGUGCACUUGUGGAUAGAAAAUGUAAUGAGUGUCACCAACAGAUUUAUAUCAUAAUAAUUGAUAUCACCGAUUUUAUAUCCUAUAAUGAGAUUUCUGUAGUUUAGGAUAUGAUGACCUAUUUUAACUUUAUUUAAUAGUAUUUUGAUCUUUUCCCAAAAAGUUUUAAAGUAACGACAUUCUAGGAAAAAAUGUUUAUAAUCUUCUGUUACAUUACAUAAGUCGCAUUUACUGUCUUCUUUUAUCUUCCAUUGAAAAAGCAAUUGUUUGCAAGGAAGGAUAUGAUGCAGCAAUUUCCAUUUAAAUAUUUUUAAUCUGUUAUCUUUUAAAUAAGUAAAUAUAAAGUUAAGCAUUGAUUUAAUUGGAAUUAACGAAUCUAAAUUUAGGACACGUUUCCAUUUAAAGAAACCUGGAGGCGUGUCUUCAUUUCCACUAUUAAUGUGUGUGUAUAUCUGUUUUGUUUCCAUUACUUGUAAAAUUAUUAUCUUAUUUUUUUCUUUUGUAUUGAUGCAAAGGUUAAGUUUAUUUUUUACUUUUGAUUUUAUUGAUUUUUCUGAUUUAAGUACCUUGAGCCAUUCAUUUGGUAAGGCAUAAUUAAGUUUUGAAAUUUCAAACAUUAAAUUGGAUUUUGAGGAUAUUUUAUUAGAUAUUAUUUCUUGAGAGAUAUUACCAUUUUGGUCUAUUAUAUCGUUAACGUAUAUAAUACCUUCUUUUAUCCAAUUUAUAAAAACUAAACACUUUCCUUGAAAUUUUAUCAGUUUGUUUCCCCAUAAGAUUUGUUGUCUAAUGUUUUUAAAAUUCAUAUUGAGUUUGGUAUUAUUUAAAUUUUGUACUUUGAACCAAGACUUUACAAUUUCUAAGUAGAAUUUUGGUAAAGUUUUAUGUAGGUUUUGUAUUGAGUAAAUGUUGUCUAGAUUCAUGUAAAGUAGCAUGAAAUUAGCACCAAAUUUAUUAAAGUAAAAUGUCGGAAUUACUUUCCAGUUAGCAAAAUCAUCUGCAGUAAGUCUUUUUAUCCAUGCUAUUUGUAGUGCAGUUAUAUAAUUGUCUAUAUCUGUCAUUUUAAGCCCUCCCUCAGUAGUAUUUUUGCUAAGGGUGGUUCGUUUGACCUUUUCUCGUUUACCAUCCCAUAUAAAAUUGUAGAUAAUAGUUUUAAACUGUUGAAUAAAUUCAUGUGGUAGGUUUGUGACUGAAGCUAAAUAUGUAAGGUUAGGUAUAAGAAGAGAUUUUACAACUGUUAUUUUACCUAUCAUUGUAAGAUUUCUUUUUUUCCAAUUACUUAUUAAUUUGUCACAUUUCUGUAUUAUUUUUUCAGUAUUCAGCUUAUCACAUUCAGCUCGAUCUGUUCCAAAAUAAACUCCUAGACUUUUUAUUGGUCCUUUAUUCCAUGUUAUAUUUUCAAACUUAUCUUUACAAUGUUUUAAUUUUCCUAACCAAAUGCCCUCAGUUUUUGAUCUAUUUAAUUUUAAACCUGAUAGCGUUCCAAAGAUUUCAAUAAUAUUAAGAGUGUGACGUACUUCAUCUUUUGAUUUUAGAAAAAGUGUUGUGUCGUCAGCUAAUUGAGAAAUCUUUAAACUGUGUGUUUUAGUAUCUAGCUUAAUUUGAAAACCUUUGAUGUUGUUGUCUUGUCUUAUUCUGCAGGACAAAAUUUCUACAGCAAUAACAAAAAUCAGGGAACUUAACGGGCAGCCUUGUCUAAUACCGCGUUUAAUGUUAUAUGGUGAUGAGACCCACCCAUUGUUUAACAUACAACCCGUUAUGUCUUUGUACAGAGUUUUAACCCAUUUGAUAAAAGGAUUUGGAAGGCCGAAUUUCUUGAGUGCUUCAUACAUAAAUGGCCAUUCCAAUGAGUCAAAGGCCUUGGAAAAAUCUAUGAAGAGCAAUGCUCCUUCAAUAUUAAAGUAUUCUGCAUGGUCUAUUAUGUCUUGAAUUUGACGAAUGUUGAAACCUAUAUAUCUAUUUUUUAUGUAACCAUUUUGGUCACUAUGGAUGAUUUUAGUUAGUAUUGGUUUAAGACGUUGUGCUAAAGAAUAUGCCAUAAGCUUUGUAUCAACAUUGAGUAAAGUAAUUGGUCUAUAGUUGUCUAAAAGAAGUGGGUUUCCCUUUUUAUAUAAUAAAGAGACUACUCCUAUUUUUUGUAGUGUGCUCAUUUCUUCCUUUUGAUAGCAUGUGUUAAAAACUUUAACAACAAUUUCUUUUAAAUUUGUCCAGAAGGUUCGAUAAAAUUCUACACUGAUCCCGUCGAUGCCCGGUGAUUUAUUUAAUUUCAUAGAUUUAAUAGCUUCUGUACAUUCUUUUAUGGUAAGCUCCCCUUCUAGAUUUUGAGUUUCCUCAUGAGAAAGAGUUUUAUCUACUUUUGUUUCUGUUAUAUAUUUUUUUAUUUCAUUUUCAUUAGGAUUUGUACUUUUAUAUAAAUUUUCAUAGAAGUUUUUUUCUAACUUUAAAAUUUCAGAUGAAUCUGUUAUAAUUUCUCCUUUUUCAUUCGUAAGUGCAGAAAUAUUUUUAUGAGUUUGUCUGGAUUUUUCAAGGCCUAUAAAAAAUUUUGUGUUUUUUUCUCCUUCUUCUGUCCAUUUUACACGUGAUCUAACCUGAGCUCCCUUUGCUUCAUUUAUGUAAAGGUUCUCUAGUUUUUUCUCAGCAUUGUUUAUUCUAUUUUGAACAUUAUUAUCCUGUAAGUUUUCUGCAUUUUCGUUCAAUUUUUUUAAUGACAGUUCUAAUUUAAUUAUUUCAUUUUUAUUUUCAGCUUGUUUUUGCCUACAGUAUUUAAUGGUUAUGUCUCUUACUUCAGCUUUAAAAACGUCCCACUUAACUCGAGGAUCUACAGCCGUAGUAAGUAUUUUUUGUUUAUAAGUUUGAAUUAAGUUAUUAAUGAGAUUUUGAUAUUUUGUGUCAUUCAAUAUACUGUUAUUAAUUUUAAAGAAACCUCGGCCUCUACUGUGUGCUUUGUGUCUUAGCUUUAAUGAAAUUGCCUGAUGAUCAGUGUAAGAAAUAGCAGCGGGUCUAAUAUCUGCUGCUGUAAUAUGUGGUCUUAUAUCAGAGCUAAUAAGAAAAUAAUCUAUUCUGCUUGCUAUGUUAAAGUUAUUUUUCCUUCUCCAGGUGAACUGUCUUUUGUUUGGGUUAAUUUCUCUCCAUAUAUCAACUAACUUAUGUUUUUUUAUUAAUUGUUUCAAACUAUUUACAGGUUUAUUAAAUUUUUGUGUACUUGUACUUUUUCUGUCGUUUUCAGUCAGACUUUCAUUUAUAUCCCCUCCAAGUAUUAAAAUGCCUAAUCUAUUAUUUUCAAUUAAGUUGUUUAUUUUUUUGAAGAAAGAAUUUCUAUUUCUUUGUAUAUUUGGUGCAUAAACAUUAACUAAAGUGAAGAUGUUAUUAUCAAGUUCUACAUUAAUUAGAAUAAACCUGCCCUCCUCAUCUUUAAUUUCAUUUAUUAUUUUGUGAUUUAUGUUUUCUUUAAUUAAAAUUGAAACACCUCUGGAUAGGGAAUUGCCAAAGCUAUGGUAUAUCUUACAUUUAGUUUCACUAUUUAUUACAUUUAUGUUUUUAUCGGUGAAAUGGGACUCUUGAAUAAACAAGAUGUCACAUUUUUGAUUUUCACACCAAAUAUAUAGUCUGUCUCGCUUUUCUUUUUUUCCUAGCCCUUGGCAGUUCAAGGAGCAAAUAUUUAAAUUAUUACUCAUCUAAAUAAUGAACUAUACAUGUAUUAGCAAAGAUUACUACAGAGAUAUACAUCAUAACAAACUGUUUUAAGUUGUUGUAUACAAUACAACUAUGACUAAACGUAUAAUAGUAGUAAUGCAUGAGUAUAUAUAAUAUAUAUGUAUCAUUAUAAUAUGUGUUUUUUACAAUAAUACAGUUUUGUACUUGUGCCUGUAUGUAUAUAGGAGCUUGAUUUUCAGAAAUUACUUUUUCUAUUUUCAGAUAUUUGAAUUGUUCAAUAAGGAGUGUUCGAGUGCUCAACAACAUUAUAACUGUGAUCAAAUGAAAUAUAUUCUCAACAGUUUUUGAUGACGUCUUAAAUUUUCCAUACAUUUGAACCUGGAAAUGAUAUCUUUUUGUGUAGAAUUCUUUGGAGAUUUUUAAAUGUUCACUUAACGCUGCUGUACAUGUGUGUAUCAUGUGUUUUAAUAAGAUAUGGAUCUGUACUUCAAGUGAAUAUACUGCGUCAAAAUGAUUAGCAUAGCUGGUUGUGGAAUAUGUGUGUCUUGAUAGUAUGGUGCAAAAAUAUAUGAGUGCAAUUCGUUUCGUACUUCCUGUGUGUGAUGCGGUAUAUGGUGAUAUACUACAUGUAGUUGCGUACCAUAUUUGCAAUUUCGUAGGAAUAUGAAGUGGUUGGUAUAUUUUCCGAUUAUCCUUGUUUGAAUUGCAGAAAAUAGAAGAUUUGUUUGUACAAUCAGUGCUUACGUGUAAUAAAAGCAUUUUGGUGAUGAACCGAAUUAAACAAAUGCAGCCUAAUGACGUGGAUAGUAGAACUAGUGAUCGUUUCAUUUUGUUAACUAGUGAAUAAAAGUUUUUUCUUUUUGUUGGUUUAAUGCUUGUUUUAAAAUUAUCUGUUUCUUUCAGACAUAUGUUUUUGUUGGUAUUUUGUGAAUAAACAUACAUAUAAGAUAAAUUACAUAUUACACUGUUUUCUAUUUCUACAUCAUCAUGAUCAUCAAUUGAGAACAUAUGAUCUAGUUUUGUGUCAUAUUUCUCUUUUUGAUUGGUUAAUAUACAUGUACUACUCUUAUC